This is a long non-coding RNA of Myiozetetes cayanensis, 311 nucleotides long. RefSeq lists it as uncharacterized. Lineage: Eukaryota; Metazoa; Chordata; Aves; Passeriformes; Tyrannidae. The transcript is spliced from 2 exons. The record is from RefSeq and is a predicted model, not a curated record.
GACUGGCUGAAGCAGAACAAUUUUGGAGGGGCCAUGGUUUGGACCAUCGACCUGGAUGACUUCACUGGCAAUUUCUGCCACGAAGGCAAAUACCUCCUGAUCUCCACCCUUAAGAAGGGCCUUGGUCUGUGAGCAGCGCCUGCAAGACCUGUGAACAGCCCAGUCCUCAAGUCCCUGUAGCUCCUAAACAUGGAAGUAACAGUUCAGGGGACUGGCCAUGAAGAUCCCAAUCCUGUCCCAGCCAACAGACCCCUCUGAUCUAAUUGCACAGCAUAAGAAUGAUUAAAUAAAGCUUUCUGCAAAAGAAACAA